CAUAGCUUCUAGAUUAACUAUUAGAAGUUACGUCUGCCCAGUGACAUUAAGUUUAACGGCCGCGUUAAGUGCUAAGGUAGCAUAAUAAUUUGUCUUUUCAUUGAAGACUAGUAUGAAAGGCAUAACGAAGCCCAGCUGUCUCUAUUGAUUUAAUCGAAAUUGAUUUUAAAGUGAAAAAUCUUUAAUUUAAUUAGAGGACGAGAAGACCCUGUAGAGUUUACAGUGCAAGUAAAAGAAAAAUCUAAUUUUUACUUUUACUACACUUUGAUUGGGGCAAUAGAGGAACAAAAGAAAAUCCUCCUAUUAUAAAUUAAUAUAUUAAAAAUGAUCCUCAAAGAGAAUAAAAAAAAACUACCUCAGGGAUAACAGCGUAAUCUUUCCAGAGAGACCUAAUCGAAGGAAGGGUUUGCGACCUCGAUGUUGGACUAAGGUAACCCUAAGGUGCAGCAGCCUUAAAGGUGAGCCUGUUCGGCUCUUAAU
This 480-nucleotide ribosomal RNA is filed under the name Conopeum seurati. Its description in RNAcentral is "partial 16S ribosomal RNA". It matches the Rfam family "Bacterial large subunit ribosomal RNA", at positions 1827 to 2592 of the family's 2925-position model. The record is from RNAcentral. Lineage: Eukaryota; Metazoa; Bryozoa; Gymnolaemata; Cheilostomatida; Electridae.